RNAcentral lists this ribosomal RNA (505 nucleotides) under uncultured bacterium. RNAcentral's name for it is "partial 16S ribosomal RNA". It matches the Rfam family "Bacterial small subunit ribosomal RNA", at positions 28 to 507 of the family's 1533-position model. The record is from RNAcentral.
GACGAACGCUGGCGGCGUGCCUAAUACAUGCAAGUAGAACGCACAGUUUAUACCGUAGCUUGCUACACCAUAGACUGUGAGUUGCGAACGGGUGAGUAACGCGUAGGUAACCUGCCUGGUAGCGGGGGAUAACUAUUGGAAACGAUAGCUAAUACCGCAUAAUAUUAAUUAUUGCAUGAUAAUUAAUUGAAAGGUGCAAUUGCACCACUACCAGAUGGACCUGCGUUGUAUUAGCUAGUAGGUGAGGUAACGGCUCACCUAGGCGACGAUACAUAGCCGACCUGGGAGGGUGGUCGGCCACACUGGGACUGAGACACGGCCCAGACUCCUACGGGAGGCAGCAGUAGGGAAUCAUCGGAAAUGGACGAAAGUCUGAACGAGCAACGCCGCGUGAGUGAAGAAGGUUUUCGGAUCGUAAAGCUCUGUUGUAAGAGAAGAAAGGGUGUGAGAGUGGAAAGUUCACACUGUGACGGUAUCUUACCAGAAAGGGACGGCUAACUACGUG